GCCAGCGGGUAAUGCCGGGGAACUCGUAAGGAGACUGCCGGUGACAAACCCGGAGGAAGUGGGGACGACGUCAAGUCAUCAUGGCCUUACGGGUAAGGGCUACACACGUGCUACAAUGGCCGGUACAAAGGGUUGCGAAGCCGCGAGGUGGAGCUAAUCCCGAAAAGCUGGUCUCAGUCCGGAUCGGAGUCUGCAACUCGACUCCGUGAAGUCGGAAUCGCUAGUAAUCGUGAAUCAGAAUGUCACGGUGAAUACGUUCCCGGGCCUU
This 268-nucleotide ribosomal RNA is filed under the name uncultured Halomonas sp. Its description in RNAcentral is "partial 16S ribosomal RNA". It matches the Rfam family "Bacterial small subunit ribosomal RNA", at positions 1117 to 1382 of the family's 1533-position model. The record is from RNAcentral. Lineage: Bacteria; Pseudomonadati; Pseudomonadota; Gammaproteobacteria; Oceanospirillales; Halomonadaceae.